Herpailurus yagouaroundi (jaguarundi) is the source of this 5421-nucleotide long non-coding RNA. RefSeq lists it as uncharacterized. The record is from RefSeq and is a predicted model, not a curated record. Lineage: Eukaryota; Metazoa; Chordata; Mammalia; Carnivora; Felidae. The transcript is spliced from 2 exons.
UAUAAUUUAAAUUACAUAAUUAUAUGAUUUAUGUGUAAUAUAAACAUGUGUGAUAUCAAUAUGUUAAUCGAUUUUACAUGUUAUAGGUAAAGCUUCUGGUCAGUAGUCGGCUAUUUAAGAUUUGGAGGAGUCAAAAGUUAUAUGCAGAGUUUUAACUGUGUACAGGAUUGGCACCUCUAAUGCCUGCACUGUUCAAGGGUUAACUUUGGUUUUUUGUAACCUAGUAUUUAUUGUUCCUUGGCUUGUAAAUGGUGCCACUGUCAUUUCAUUCGUUAAAACAUACCUGAUAAUUUUUCUGGACUUUUUUUUUUUUUUUUUGUCCUUCACAUUUAUUAAAUUACCAAAUCCUGAUUGACUUAUGCUUUUUAAUCUCUCUCAGUUCAGUCCACGCAACCCUUACGGUCUCUACCCUAGUUGAGGCCAUUGUCUCUCACUUGGAUUUCUGUAGGACUAUCCAGACUGGUUUCCCUGUGUCUAGUCCAGUUAUCCCAAUUGCAAUGAUAAAGUGAAAAUCAGAGUUAUCUUUCUCCUUUGGUUUAAUUCUUAAUGUAGGAGUCCUUGUUGUCUUCUGAAUAGAAAAUAAAUUUCUUAAUGGCAACAGAGUUGUUCAUCUGAUGACCCCUGCUUUCUCCUUUGGGUUCUUUUCUUACUAUUCUCUUUUAACCUCAUCAGUAUGUAUUCUAGUCUACCAUACGGAACUUUUUUUCUUUUAAGUUUGUUUAUUUAUUUUUUUGAGAGUGCACACUAGUGGGACAGGCAGAGAGGGAAGGAGAGAGAAUUCCUAAGUCAGACGCUUAACUGAGUCACCCAGGCUCCCUGGAACUGUUUUUCGUUAUAUAAUGGUCAUGCUAUUUCUGCCUCUUUGGUCCUUUGUAUAUGACUGUUUAAAGUAGGCCUUGCCCUUGAGUGUUCUGCUGUCUUAAUAUAUAUCCAUGCUUUAUUUCUUUCCUAGUAGUUAUCGCUCUGUAAAAUCAUCAGUUUUACUUUUUAAGUCUCUCUUCUCCAGAGGAUUCAAAGCUCUAUGAGGGCAAGGAUUUUUAUCAUUAUUUAUUACAUUUUAAAUAUAUGAGCUGUUGCUCAGUAUUUAUUGAAUCAGUAAAUGGAUGAAUGAAUGAAUAUUUACUUUACAGAAAGUCCUGUAUGUGUAUGUCUGUCUCCCGGUCUCACUUAGUGUGCCUGAUAGUCAAUGUUUCCUUAGUUUUGUAGUUAUCCUCCAUAAAUCAUUUCUUCGUGGGCCAUAUAGUAGCUGGCUAGAGUAUGUGAAAUAGCAUAUACUGUUUAUAUUGCAAUAGUCCAAUUAGCUUCUUGUAUGUGCCCUUUUUGCUGCCAUUCCACUCAUACAUGUGCUAAGAUGCACAGUGUAAAGUUAGAGAGGUAUGCAUAUUUUUCCAUGUUAUGCCAUUGAAUACUAAUGGUAGCUGUUCAAACAUGUUAAAAAUUGCACACUUUUUAUCAGAUACCAAUUUUCAGUGCCUAUUAUUUUAGAUUCUCCUAAGAGUAAUUUCAUAGAUAGUUUCAGCUUUAUUUGAUCCCAGCAGAGUUUUAAAAUAUUUGUUCUAAGGAGUCUUAUUGAUCCUAAUUUAGGUGGCCCCAAGGUCUAGGUUAGAAAAGUAUCACCUUAGUGAUACUACACUGCUUAUAAUUAUGUUUCACGUGCCUCCUUGGACUAAGUUGUAAUCACUUGAGAAUCAGACACAGCUCUGGGAUUUCCUCAAUUUGGAGGACCUUGUGGUAUUUCUAAGGAAUGAGGUUGAGAAAAAGGUUUCCCACAGCCUCUUUUUAUUUUUAGUAUUAAAAAUGUAAAGUACAUAGGUAAAAACCAAGAAUAUUGUAACGUCCAUAUUCCUACCAUUCAGAAUUAAUGCUUUUCUGGUUCAUUAGAUCCUUUCAUAUAUUGGCUAAUAACUUCAGUUGGGUAGAACUUUUCAUGAAAUUUAAAAUCUGUCCCCAUUUUAUCAUUAUGUUUUGGUAAAUAUUCCAAAUGUUAAUUAUAAAAGUGAACAUGUAGAUUGUCUCUUAAUUUGUAAAGCACUUUUGUACAUGUUGCCUAAAAGCCAAUUAGUUUUACUUUGCAACCCUAAGCAAUUAGCUUUGUAGAACGUAGGACAAACAUCUGUGCCUUACUGAUCAUCCAUUACACUAAUCUAUUUUAACCAUUGAUAUAUAUUUGUUAACUUGGAUUUAUAUCAUAGUUGCAAUGAUUUGACAUUUAAAAUUUGGUUUCAGUGUAUAAAUAAGUCAUGCUUUAUGAUUAUGGAAUAAAUAUGCAGAUGCUUUUAACCUUAAUUUACUUUGAGAGUUAUGUGUUCAAUGCACAUAAAACAUUAAUUAGAUUGUGAUUAUUUGCAGUAUAAGAAAUUUCUUUAGCACAGCAGUUUUCAAAUUGUUUUACAUGAAGCCCUAAAGUUUCCCCAGAAAUGUUUCUGAACCCAUGUACUAGUCCGCUGGGACUACCAUAACAAAAUACCACAGCCUAUAUGGCCUAAACAAUGGAAAUGUAUUUUCUCACAGUUCUUUAGCUAGAAUUCCAAAAUCAAGGUGUUGGCAAAUUUGAUGAGCAUUUUUUUUCUACUCUAUGCAAGUCCUUGUCAUCACCAUGCCCUCACUGCCCUUUCCUCUGUGUGUUUCCUGCGGGGAGGGGGCUUGGGGCCUCUGGUCUCAAAGACACCAAUCUUACAGAGCCCACUCUUAUAACCUCAUUUUAUCUUAAUUAUCUCCUUAAAGGCCUUAUCUCCAGGUGCAGACAGACACAUUUGGGGUUAGGGCUUCAACAUAGGAAUUUUGAGUGGACAUAGUUCAUUUUAUAACAUCCUGUGAAGUAUUUUCUUGGAAGUGAUUAUGCUAAUAAAAAUGGAAGGGGAGUUGAAAACUGCUGUUGUCAUAAAUUAUGUCAUUCCUUCAACAUAAGAAUUUAUUAAAAUUGCAUUCACAUGUAACUUUCCAGGAGUACAUUUAUUUAGUGAAAUGAGGAAUCAUCCUUACAAACUGUCUUUCCUUGGGUUCUAGAUCUCUCUUAAUUUGUUGGUAAUGUUGAUUCAUAGACUCUUAAGUGAUGCAAGCACAUUAGAUAUUACCAUUUGCAUGAAGUUUGCUGGGGUCAUUAAAGCUUUGAUUAUAUUAUAAUAUGUUUUUGUAAAUUAUUGUGGACUCUAAUUAUGGCAACUUCAUGACUGAGGCUGAAAAGUGUUGGAUUUAGAAUCAAGAGUUUUAGCUUUCCUGUUAAUUAAGUUUUUGAUCCUGGGUAAAUUAAUUUUAUAUUUUUGUGACUAAUUUCCAAUUAGAACAUAAAAGAAUAUUGAGAAAAAAGAAAGCCCCAAAUCCCAAUUUGGGGAAUCAUCAGAUACUAAUGAUAGUUGUGAAAGCACUUUGAAAAGCACAAUUUAUGGAAAUGCCAAUUAUCAGUUUCAUGGGUAAUUUUCAAAUAAAAUAUUUAUUUUAUUUUGAAUGUAUGGUUAGAUUCCCUUAGUAGGAAAAACAACUCUAUUUACUCAUGUUAUUGUCUAGUUUUUGGUAUCUUCAAAAUAAAUAAUGUUAGAAGGAAAAACUCUGCUAUAAUUUUCCCCUUACUAUUCCAAUUCAGGGGAUAACUUAGAUUUUAACAUAAUGUGAAAUUCCACUCCAUCAUGAUUGUUGUGGUGAUAAUAACAUCUACCUCCAUAUUGUUCUUUGAAAUCUAUUAAAACUUAGGGAAGGUCCAUUUGAAAACUUUUGACUAACGUUUUGUUUGAAAAUAGGAACACCUACUAAAAACAUAAUUUUACUUUAUUAUAAUCAAGUUUUUCCAUAAUUGCCCACUUAUGCUGUGUUCACUUUUUUACUUCCUACUGAAUCUUCCCCAGUAGGUUUCUGUCCCCACUAUUCCACUAAAAAAAAAAAACUAGCCUUGUCAAAAGAAGCCUUGCCAUGUUGUAAAAUCCAGUAGACAUUCUUCAGUUCUUGUUUACUAAACCUUUAUCAUUCUUUCACAGAGUUGAAUCUUUUUAAAUCUCUCUCAGCUUUGCUUGUUUUUUUUUUUUUUUUUCUACCUCCCCUGGGCUUUCUUACUCUCUUUUGCUCACUCUUCUCUCUGAUCCCUUAAACACUGCAUGACUGACUAACAGAUGGAGCAGAAUAAUCUAAUAGAAAAGCUGGAAGAUGCCUUAAAAUAAUUCAUUUAAACACAAUAUAAUCAUAAAUGUUGUUAGCUAAGAACCCACAGCUGCUAACACUAGCCUAUUUCAUCUAUCUGUUCAGUAAAGAUUUUGUGAUGCCUGCUCCAUAAGGGACUCAGUAGGGCACUGCACGGGAUGUUUGAGACAUGAUGUUCCUGAGUCUGGAGUUCAGUAAAGGAAGAAAAGCAAAGUAGGUGCAUAGAUAAAUAUAAUGUCAGGCAGAAUGUAAAUGCUUUAAGUGCAGAGUGAUAUCAGGAAUAAAGUAGUUUGGGGCUAUGCAAAUAUAUGUAAACUUUUCUCAUUUUUUCAGUGUUUGGUAAAGACAAUGACUGGUAGAAAAGCAUUGAUCUCUUUCCUUCUAACCAAUAAUGCUUAGAAAAAUAAUGUCAAAGAUACACAUAGACCAAAAUCAUAAGGUAGGAAGUGUUCAGCAUGAAAGCAUGGAGAAUUGGUCACUCAGUAAUUUUUAUAGAAGGCUGUUAGAACAGCUGAUACAAUUUGUGUAGUAGGCAAAAGUUUGACCCUUGUGCCUUCACUCUUUGGUGUUACAUUGAUGAAUAUGUUACAUGGCAAAAGGGACUUUAUGUUGUAAUUAAAUUUAUUAAUCAGUUGACCUUAAGUUAGGGUGAUUAUCCUGUAUUAUCCAAAUGGGCCCAGUGUAAGUUACAUGAGCCUUUAAAAGCAGAAGAGGCAGGCAGAAUGCAGAAAUAUUCAAAGCAUGAGGACUCAGCACAUUUAUCUUCCUUGAAGGAGGUGGAGAGUUACAUGGCAGCAUGAGAAGGAAAUGAAUUCUGCUAGUAAUCUGAGUGAGUUUGGAAGUAGGUUUUUGCUCAGAGCUACCAAAAAGGAGCUUAUAUCAGCUUUAUGAGACCGUAAACAGAGGACCCAGCCAAUUGGGCUGUACAGGACUGACCCACAGAAACUAGGAGAUAGUAAAUGGGUGUUUUUUUUUUUUUAAGAUGUUAAAUUUAUGGUGUUUAAUUAUACAGUAAUAGAAAACUAGUACAGAUUUAUUACAUUGAGGUAUUUAUAAUAUGAUGAGAAAACCAUGAUUAGACGGUUCCAGAAUUUCCUUGCAAAAGUAUUGUGCCUCUCUCAUUUUUAUUUUUUAAAAAAGUGCUCUUUUCCUGUAAAAACCAUAAGUAGAAUCAUUAAAUUCUCAUAUUAGUGCAUUUAAUUAUUUACUCUAAACCUAACAUGAUGCGAAACAUUAAACAAAUCUACUUACUGAUAAUAAAUCAGGUUAGCUGGAAAGAGAGUUUUGGUGUUA